Molecule: RNA transcript, 2343 nt
Organism: Drosophila subpulchrella
Lineage: Eukaryota; Metazoa; Arthropoda; Insecta; Diptera; Drosophilidae
Exons: 4
Source: RefSeq, a predicted model, not a curated record
UCGAUGUUUUUUAAAACAGCGAUGUAUCGAUGCUUUUUUUCGAACAUCGAUGUUAUCACUAAGAGAUACACACGCAAAGCAAGUGUUUGAUACAGGUAAAACAUAUUAGGGCGGUUCCUCUCGGCACAAUGGACAGGUUUCUGCACAUAACAAACCACGUGUCUGCUGCUUCGUCGUCUGCUCCAACGUCUGCUGCUUCGUCGUCUGCUCCAACGUCUGCUCCAACGUCUGCUGCUUCGUCGUCUGCUCCAACGUCUGCUGCUUCGUCGUCUGCUCCAACAUGUGCUGCUUCGUCGUCUACUCCAACGUCUGCUGCUUCGUGGUCUGCUCCUUCUACGUCUGCUGCUUCUACGUCUGCUCCUUCUACGUCUGCUGCUUCGUUGUCUGCUUCUUCUACGUCUGCUGCUUGGUCCUCUGCUGCUUCGUCCUCAGCUCCUGCGUGUGCUGCUAUUUUGGAAAAUGAUGAUUUGGAAUUUGGCUUUGAGCCCCCAGAUUGUAGAAAACGCAAGAAAACCGGAUCAGAUGUAUGGAAAUAUUUUGAGAGGUGCAAGAACAAAAUGUUUGCCAAAUGUCGGUUUUGCGGAAAGGAGUAUAAAACUUCCGGCAAUACAACAAAUUUAUCCGAUCAUCUAAGGCGCCUUCAUCCAUUGAAAGUAUCAGUAAGUACAGAAAACGCAAUGAAAAUGGACAAUUUUGUUUUACGAUCUGAUGCGUACGACCCAAAAUCAUCCAGAAAGAUUGAACUUGAUAAAUGUCUCGCUAAAAUGGUGUCGUCAGAUAUUCAGCCGUUCAGCAUAGUAGACGACAAUGGGUUUAAAAAUUUUAUAAAAUUACUCGAUCCAAAGUACAUUUUGCCCAGCCGUACUACAUUGCAGAAUGUGGUCACAAAAAAUCUUUAUGAAGAAGCGCUAUCCAAAUUAAAGGGUAAGCUGAGUACGGUCCAAUAUUGCUCAUUAACAACGGAUUGUUGGACGUCUCGUUCAAACGCCAGUUACCUAACGUUGACGUGCCACUUUAUUGAAAAUUUCGAGCUAAAAACGGUUGUUCUAGCCACACAGCCGUUAUUAGACCAAACCAAUCACUGCAGUGACAAUAUUGCAGGAACUAUAAAAGCAAUUUGCAUGGACUUUGACAUUUUUAAUAAAGUGGUAACUAUUGUAACGGACAACGCAGCUUCUAUGAAAAAGGCCUGUGAGAAUUUGCAAAAAAAGCACCUGGGUUGUUUUGCCCAUUCAUUAAAUUUAAUUGUUCAAAGCACGCUUGCCCUAAAUGAUGUGCAAGAUGUUUUAAAAAGCGUUAAGAGCAUUGUCACUUAUUUUAAAAGCAGUGCGAUUGCGUAUGCCAAACUAAGAGCUGCACAAGGCGUUGAAAAGCCGUUAAACCUAAUACAGGAAGUGCCUACUCGUUGGAAUAGUGCAUUCUAUAUGCUAAAGAGAAUUUUACUCGUUCGAGAGGCAGUUUGCGGAGUUUUACUAAAAUCUUUGAAGGCGCCACUACCGUUAAGUGAGGAACAAUUUUCUAUCAUUCAAGACAUCUGCACCGUUUUAGAGCCAUUUGAAACGGCAACAGUGAAUACGUCAGCUGCCAAAAAAGUAACGGUAUCCUUAAUAAUACCCACAGUGCAGGGCCUUUUAAUUCAAAUGGAUACGCUUAAGCCGCAAAUGAAGACGAGUGUAGGGGCUGACACUUGCUUGUUUUUAACAAAUCAGUUGAGAAGCAGACUUUACCCCUAUGAAUCUAGAACUGCUACGAGGAUGACAACGAUUCUCGAUCCAAGAUUUAAAAAGGAAGGAUUUUACAAUCCGAUGAAUGCAGAACAAGCAGUAGCAGCGUUGGAAAAUGACUUGACUUUCGUCUUCAAAGAUGUGCAGAACCAAUGUCCAAAUGAGGAACCGGCCGAACUUGGAGAUCCGAUGCAAUAAUCGAAAUGCGGCAAUAUUUCGAGCAACAGAAUGCGCAUCAGAAAAUAGAUCCGCUCGAAUACUGGAGGGUUAAUGAAGUUCAAUUCAGCAAUCUUGCGCAGUGCGCGUUAAAAUAUUUAUGUAUACCUGCGACAUCUACUGACUCGGAAAGGACUUUCAGCAAGGCAGGACAAAUCGCGGACGAAAAGAGAUCUCGACUUAAACCUAAAACUUUGAACAUGCUGUUGUUUUUACAGAAAAACCAGUGGAUUAUUAGUUAAGAUAUAGAUAUCGAUUAGAUAAGUAAGAUAAGUAAGAACUGAACUGAACUGAACUGAACUGAACUGAAGUGAACUGAACUGAAAUAAUGUGAUUCCAUUUUUCUUUAUGAUUUCGUUAAAAUAUGUAUUAAGAUUAUGCUUUUUUAUUUGUUUCUGAAAAU